AGGAGGUCAAAAAAUGGAGAAAAAAAAAUUACAAUUGCAAAAAAAGUUUGGAUAUUGUGCGUAUACAGGACUGACAAUGUUAUCAAUUGAGAAUGAACUAUUUAAAGACAUUGAUACCACAGAUGUGAUAAAGACUUUUGCAA
This is a long non-coding RNA of Gavialis gangeticus (Gharial), 143 nucleotides long. RefSeq lists it as uncharacterized. The record is from RefSeq and is a predicted model, not a curated record. The transcript is spliced from 4 exons. Lineage: Eukaryota; Metazoa; Chordata; Crocodylia; Gavialidae.